GUCGGCAGCGUUGAAGGCCAUAAUGUUGUACCGCUUCGUGGUGGUCUUGGGGACGCGCACCACGUAUUCGGUCACCACCUGACUGCUGGAGCCCAGAGAGGCCAUCCCUGUAGCAGACAUGGGGGCAGCACUUCCGGGUGGGGGUCUCAGAGGGAUCCGCGCAUACGCCGCCGCUCUCCGCUCCGCACACCCGUUGCGCCGUACUGCGCAGGACCGGAAGCGCCGUUCACCGGAAGCGUC
Molecule: long non-coding RNA, 240 nt
Filed under: Gallus gallus (chicken)
Lineage: Eukaryota; Metazoa; Chordata; Aves; Galliformes; Phasianidae
Source: RNAcentral